CUCACUUAGCGUUGUGUUGGCGUGCGCAUGCGCAGUGGCGCAGAGUGCGUGUGCGGUUUCGGUUAGCUCGGGGAGAGAGAGAGAGAGAGAGAGAGCGAGAGAGAGCGAGCGCCGGGAGAGGAGCUGUUCAUAUUUCACUGCUUGCCGAGAAACGACCAUUUACAUGUUGGAUUCUGAAUCAUUUUAAAGAAAAAGACUCGACUCCCGACGGAAUUGAACUCUUUCUCGUUUUGAGCCGACCUCCAAAGAUCAACCACGAUUCGAAACCACAGACGUGUCCUGCAGCCAUGAGGAGCAGUGGAGAUCGCUAAGAAGUAGACAGCUGCAACCACCAGGAGCUGCAAAAACUAAGAGACAGGAAAUGCACGAAACAUACAGGCAGGUACGUGAUUGACAGCUCAGCAGGUACAUGGGGUGUGUGUGUGUGUGUGUGUGUGUGUGUGUGUGUGUGUGUGUGUGUGUGUGUGUGUGUGUAAAAAAUUCCCUGGCUCCAGAUCAUAAACACAGACUCGUACCACUUCUUGCUGUCGACGCGAACGAGAAAGGCAGUGACGGAAGAGGGUAGAAAACCAACACAGCCGUAAACGACAGUCUUUCGAGAGCCGAUAACGAAAGUACCCUUGCACUUGAAGUAAAUCAUCAUUACUAUCGUACGUGUUUUGUUUACCGUGUGUGCGUGAGGAGUAAGGUGGAGUGCUUAGCGUGUCAUUACAUUAUCAAAUGAACUCAUCAUCUCUUAGCUGCCAGCCAUCAUUCAUGACUAAGAUGAUGUAAUUGCCAUCAUUAGUGUUUACUCGCGCUGUGUGCGGUCUCGCACUGAAGCAGGUGAGACUAAUGAGUAAGUGAGCAACGUUUUGAAGUGUCUUCAAGAUCCGCACGUCUGUGUACGGUAAUCUUACAUGAAACAUGGUCUACCAGGCAAGAAGCGCUUGGUGUCUAAGGAAGCUUGUUCUCAGUAAGCUCGAAACCAAAUCUUCAUAUACUUCAAAUGACGUUGUCAGGCAUCCAUCCAUCCAUUUUCUUCCGCUUUUUUGGGUCCGGGUCGCAGGGGCUGCAGUCUAAGCAGAGCUGGCCAGACCUCCCUCUCCCUAGCCACAUCCUCCAGGUCCUCCACGAGGAUACCCAGUCACUCCCAGGCCAGACGAACAAUAUCAUCUCUCCAUCUAGUCCUUGGUCUGCCCUGGGGUAUUCACCCCGAUGGACAUGCCUGAAACACUUUUCCAGCAAGGCUUCCAGGAGGCGUCCUAGCCGGAUGCCCAAACCACCUCAGCUGGCUCCUUUCGAUGCAGACUCUACUCUGAGCUCCCGGCGAAUGUCCGAG
Ictalurus punctatus (channel catfish) is the source of this 1321-nucleotide long non-coding RNA. NCBI's taxonomy places the organism in Eukaryota, Metazoa, Chordata, Actinopteri, Siluriformes, Ictaluridae. The record is from Ensembl.